CUUUCCUUUAUUUUUUUUCCCCUUUACCCAUUGUACUGCCUCCUAUUUCACUGUCUGCUGUCUACCAGCGCCUAAGGAAACUGUGAUUGGUAAUUACUGGUGCCUGGUGCUGCCCAGCCUGCAACAAAAUUGCUCAGUGUGAAAGCUACUUUUAGAAGACAUUUUGGAAGACAGGAAGGCCAGAUACUUCAGGCAAGAGGCAUAAUGACUUGGGGCACAGACCACUAAAAAAAAAAAAUCAAUCCUGAAUCCCUGAGGCUUCUGUACUCUUGUUGAGAAGGCAGAACCUAGUGUUUCAUCAAAUUUUUUGUGAUAACCAUUGAUGACGUUGCAGAAACCAUGAUAAUGUAAAAUAAUGGAUUAAAUUUGUAUGAGCAUAACUGUAGUGAUGAAACAAUUUAAACUCAUUUCUGAAGGCAUUCAUGCACUGGUGCUUGCUCAGGGUGUGAGCUAGAAGGCCACUAUCCCUUCAAAAUUAGACAGAGAUGUUGAUGACCAUUCUCAGUUAUUAUACUUCUAAAUUACAGCCUGUCCUCAUCCUUGAAGAUCAAAAAGGGAGUAAUUUCUGUUUUACAGGAGAUUACUCGCACUACAAGUCUAACUCUUGUUCACUUUGAGGUACUUAAAUAAAUCUGGAGCCCUGGCUGUAGGACAGACAGACAGUUCCAGUGGGAAAAUCAGCUCUGAAUUUCAUAAUGGGAAUUUCAUUCAUUUUCUGAAUGUGUUCAUCCUUAUCCAUUAGCCCAGAGGACCCAGGACUAGCAGACGCCUUUGAAAUUCAGCCCACUGCCUCAGGUUAGAUUAAAUGAAUCCAUACUUCUGAUCAGCAGAGUUAAAAAAAAAAAUACAAAACCCAAACCAACCAAAAAGCACCAACAACCACAUAACCAUAUAAUAAUAUGGAAGGAAAUAAAGGACAAGGGAUAUUUUUAUUUGUGCAGCUGACCAGAUAUUUCCAUCUUUGGAUUGCUCCCUCUGCUGCCUGCAAGGUAGCUGGAGGGGAGCUAGCAAAGCUACCCAGGUGGACUCUGCAUCCCUCUUCCUCGCCCAACUCCCAGCAUUAGAGAUGCCGACAGUUACUAGAUAAAGUUAAAGACUCAUGUAGUGAUCUUCACACUAAUUGGACUGUAAUGUAUAGCCUCGGUCAAGCAAAUCUCUCCCAGCACUCCUCUCCACAGACGGCAAUCAAGCCAUUUACAGAAGAUGCAUCGGCUGCUGGGACCCUGGAGUAACCUUAAACUACGCUGGCCUUUUAGCAGAAAACACAAUUAAUUUUGAUACUGAAGGGCAAUUAGGACUGGGGUUAAAAUAAAAAAUCUUCUGAACAGAGAAUGUCAAAGACUGGUAAGGAAACUAUUUCCCUUGUACACAGCUUGUUGAAGGUCUGUAAGCACGGCGACUGUCAGCUCACGUUAAUUCAUAUCACUUUGAAAACCUCUCAUUUCAAUGUAGGAAAUAUAAAUUCAGAUUAAUAAGCACUGUGCUCAAACCUCACUAAGACUGAUGGCUGUUUUCUUUAAGUCUUUUGCUGCUGAAAUGAGCACAGCUUCUCCCUCUUGCUGGGGAAACCUGUUUUACAUCCCAGAAUGUAGUGAAAUGACCAAAUGCAUUUAUUUUGUUCUGUUUCAUUUCUAAAAGAAGAUAGUCUCCCAGAUGACGCUCUGCAGAUCACGGCUGAGAGCAAAUCUUGUCAGCAACUCUGUAAACUACUCUUUAGAAAUACAGAAGAUGUUCACAGUAAUACAUAUCUACAAUGCACCCACAUGCCCUGAUGCAUGUGCAAGGCAGCCAAAAUUUUGACCUCGCCUGCACGAACUGCAUAGGUCGAUGCCACUCUCAAUAAGUCAAGCAAAUGCACCAGAUCUUCCAAGUGUAUACUAAGGAGGUUUACCAGCCAGUGGUACCCAUGCAACAAAGUCAUCACAACUCCUGCAACAAAUCCUAUGGCCUUGACUUUGAAAAUCUGUUCCUGCUUUGGUCCAGGCUUAGUAGAGGACUUUCUUUUCUCCAUGACCUCCAAAGUGCUAUCAGAUGUCUGAGGUUCUCUUUUCUGUUUAAAGGACACUCCAAUUUGAAGAGAACUGUUUUCUCAUCUCAGGCUCAGGCAGCCAUCCCACAAGCUUUACUCGGGAAACCACUAACUGAUGUUAGAUUUACACAGUGGGUAGUUUUUAUCUAUGUUUUUCUUAAAAGCAGCAUCCUGGGGGAAUCUCUCAGUGGCAAAACCAGCACAAGAAGCACUAACAGUCAAUAGAGCAUCUGAGGAGUUCGCAGGGUUAAAUCUAUUGUUUCCAGGGUUUGAUUCAAUCUCUAUUUUGUCAACCUGUUUAAGUUCCAGGCCCCAUUCCCACCAGCUACAAAGAAGGGUGAAGAGCCCGGAGUAAACUCAUUUGGGCUUUUUAAGUACAACAUGAUUCAUAUUUGUGUGCAGCCUCUGUCAUGGGCUGUGCUCUGCCCACUGCCAGAAACCAUGUCAUCCUCUCAAUCUUGUGCCAGAGGGGGCAGGUGGACAAGAUAACUUAAUAGCUCUUAUUCAUUUGAAAUUUCUGUGGUUAUAGGGUAGGUCACCUUGUUCAGCAAGGGAGGGAAAGCAUGUAAAUCUUCAGCCCAAACUCAAGCUCUGGUGUAAGCAACUUUCAGAGAAGCUGAACCUAUAAUCCUUCUCUUAUUAUCUUGUAAUUUCUUGGGGGCAUUCCUUUACAGAAGAGCGAUGCAAAGGCUCCAGCAGUAAUGAAAACACAAAACAAAAAUAAUCCACCACGUUCACACACAUGACACGAAAGUGAAAACUCCCACCAGUGACUUGGUGAGGGACAGGAGCAGAUCUGGUCUCUGCAAAACAUAUGGCUCUGUGUUGGAAAGAGGCGUAACACCGGUUCCCACAUCCAUGCGCAUUCGGGUAAGAGCGCA
This 2910-nucleotide long non-coding RNA is filed under the name Gallus gallus (chicken). RNAcentral's name for it is "lncRNA (ENSGALG00010020735.1)". Lineage: Eukaryota; Metazoa; Chordata; Aves; Galliformes; Phasianidae. The record is from RNAcentral.